CCUACGGGAGGCAGCAGUGAGGAAUAUUGGUCAAUGGUCGGGAGACUGAACCAGCCAAGCCGCGUGAGGGAGGAAGGUACAGAGUAUCGUAAACCUCUUUUGUCAGGGAACAAAGACUGGGACGCGUCCCCGGAUGAGUGUACCUGAAGAAAAAGCAUCGGCUAACUCCGUGCCAGCAGCCGCGGUAAUACGGAGGAUGCGAGCGUUAUCCGGAUUUAUUGGGUUUAAAGGGGGCGCAGGCGGUCUGUUAAGUCAGCGGUCAAAGCCCGGGGCUCAACCCCGGCCCGCCGUUGAAACUGGCAGUCUCGAGUUGGAGAGAAGUAUGCGGAAUGCGCGGUGUAGCGGUGAAAGGCAUAGAUAUCGCGCAGAACUCCGAUUGCGAAGGCAGCAUGCCGGCUCCACACUGACGCUGAGGCACGAAAGCGUGGGUAUCGAACAGGAUUAGAUACCCGUGUAGUC
RNAcentral lists this ribosomal RNA (459 nucleotides) under uncultured bacterium. RNAcentral's name for it is "partial 16S ribosomal RNA". It matches the Rfam family "Bacterial small subunit ribosomal RNA", at positions 338 to 795 of the family's 1533-position model. The record is from RNAcentral.